GACGAACGCUGGCGGCGUGCUUAACACAUGCAAGUCGAACGGAAAGGCCCUGCUUUUGUGGGGUGCUCGAGUGGCGAACGGGUGAGUAACACGUGAGUAACCUGCCCUUGACUUUGGGAUAACUUCAGGAAACUGGGGCUAAUACCGGAUAGGAGCUCCUGCUGCAUGGUGGGGGUUGGAAAGUUUCGGCGGUUGGGGAUGGACUCGCGGCUUAUCAGCUUGUUGGUGGGGUAGUGGCUUACCAAGGCUUUGACGGGUAGCCGGCCUGAGAGGGUGACCGGCCACAUUGGGACUGAGAGACGGCCCAGACUCGUACGGGAGGCAGCAGUGGGGAAUAUUGCACAAUGGGCGGAAGCCUGAUGCAGAAACGCCGCGUGCGGGAUGACGGCCUUCGGGUUGUAAACCGCUUUCGCCUGUGACGAAGCGUGAGUGACGGUAAUGGGUAAAGAAGCACCGGCUAACUACGUG
Molecule: ribosomal RNA, 468 nt
Filed under: uncultured bacterium
Lineage: Bacteria
Description: partial 16S ribosomal RNA
Rfam family: Bacterial small subunit ribosomal RNA
Source: RNAcentral